Molecule: long non-coding RNA, 526 nt
Organism: Bos taurus (domestic cattle)
Lineage: Eukaryota; Metazoa; Chordata; Mammalia; Artiodactyla; Bovidae
Source: Ensembl
AGUCGUGUCCGACUCUGUGCGACCCCAUAGACGGCAGCCCACCAGGCUCCGUCGUCCCUGGGAUUCUCCAGGCAAGAACACUGGAGUGGGUUGCCAUUUCCUUCUCCAAUGCAUGAAAGUGAAAAGUGAAAAUGAAGUCGCUCAGUCGUGUCCGACUCUUCGCCACCCCAUGGACUGCAGCCCACCAGGCUCCUCCGACCACGGGAUUUUCCAGGAGGUCCUGCUAAGGAACACGGAACUAAUAAGCCACCACCAACCGGAAGAGUUCGGGAAAGGUCAAAAGGAGACACUACAUGUCCGACCACCUCCCAGAAUCCUUCUGUCUGGCAUCCAUCUUGGCUGAACAAGGCAUGCACCACCAGGAAGGACUAUGAGUCAGAAUGAUUGGCUAAGGGCAACCUGGAAACUAAUCACUUUACAUAAAACCUGGGACUGCAAGCCAUGUGGCAGAGCAGUUCUCCCAGGUUCCCUUACCCUACUGCUCUCCACCCAGGUGGCAUUUCCCAAUAAAAUCUCUUGCUUUGUC